Molecule: ribosomal RNA, 860 nt
Filed under: uncultured archaeon
Lineage: Archaea
Description: bacterial SSU rRNA
Rfam family: Archaeal small subunit ribosomal RNA
Source: RNAcentral
UUCCCGUUGAUCCCGCCGGACCCGACUGCUAUCAGAGUGGGACUAAGCCAUGCGAGUCAACAUAGCAAUAUGUGGCAUACGGCUCAGUAACACGUAGUCAACAUGCCCAGGGGACGUGGAUAACCUCGGGAAACUGAGGAUAAACCGCGAUAGGUCAUCACUUCUGGAAUGGGUAAUGACUUAAACCUAUAUGGCCCCUGGAUUGGACUGCGGCCGAUCAGGCUGUUGGUGAGGUAAUGGCCCACCAAACCUGUAACCGGUACGGGCUCUGAGAGGAGGAGCCCGGAGAUGGGCACUGAGACAAGGGCCCAGGCCCUAUGGGGCGCAGCAGGCGCGAAACCUCUGCAAUAGGCGAAAGCUUGACAGGGUUACUCUGAGUGAUUUCCGUUAAGGAGAUCUUUUGGCACCUCUAAAAAUGGUGCAGAAUAAGGGGUGGGCAAGUCUGGUGUCAGCCGCCGCGGUAAUACCAGCACCCCGAGUGGUCGGGACGUUUAUUGGGCCUAAAGCAUCCGUAGCCGGUUCUACAAGUCUUCCGUUAAAUCCACCUGCUUAACAGAUGGGCUGCGGAAGAUACUAUAGAGCUAGGAGGCGGGAGAGGCAAGCGGUACUCGAUGGGUAGGGGUAAAAUCCGUUGAUCCAUUGAAGACCACCAGUGGCGAAGGCGGCUUGCCAGAAUGCGCUCGACGGUGAGGGAUGAAAGCUGGGGGAGCAAACCGGAUUAGAUACCCGGGUAGUCCCAGCUGUAAACGAUGCAGACUCGGUGAUGAGUUGGCUUAUUGCUAACUCAGUGCCGCAGGGAAGCCGUUAAGUUUGCCGCCUGGGGAGUACGGUCGCAAGACUGAAACUUAAAGAAUGGCGGG